Long non-coding RNA from Mastomys coucha (southern multimammate mouse), 1351 nucleotides. RefSeq lists it as uncharacterized. The record is from RefSeq and is a predicted model, not a curated record. Lineage: Eukaryota; Metazoa; Chordata; Mammalia; Rodentia; Muridae. The transcript has 4 exons.
CUUGACUACAGUGUGGAAGAGGGACCCACGAGGGACAGGGAGGUCCCAAGAGAUGACAGCUGCGUUGUAAUAAAGAUAGUAGUGCUUGCAGGGUGUGACUCCAAGAUUCUGUUUCCAUGUAAGAAGUUGGUGCUGUUGACUUAAAGGCCCUACAGAGUGACGCCUUGGAGAAUACCAGGCCUGGAGGCCCCAGCUGAAUGCAGUCAUCCAAGUGACUCCUGUUCGCUGAACACGAAGGAGAUACCAAGAUGUCCCUUCUGAGUUGUGUCCAGGUUACGGGAUCAGGGAGCAAGUGCAAUAAGUUCAAAGGUGACCCUUCUUGCCAAAGCCAGAGAGACCCACCAAGAAAGCUAAUGAAUAAACUAGAACCCUACAGAAAAGCGGCAUGAGGGCUGUAUGGACAGGACACAGUGAACGGCCUGCAAGAACACCUCAAGUGUGGAUUACUGGUCUUCACCAGCCCCACCCUUCCUCAUUCUAGAGAAGCCAGCUCCAGCGGUAUCCUGGCCCUAGUGAUAGCCCAUUCCCGAGUCCUUCAUGGAUUGGGCGGUGCUGCUCAUGUCCCGGGCUCUUUAGUUACACGGCCGGCCGGAGUAGCCCUUGUGUUCACUGCCUUGGGCACAGAGCAUGCUCUCACUCACGAACAUCAAGUCUCAGAACCCAUGUGAAUAUACACCUUCCUUCUCAGUCUUUUUAAAAAUGUCACUUUCCGACCUUUUUUAAGGUUUCCAGUCUGAUUGAUUGAUUAAUUUCAUGGUGGCUAAUUUCCCACCAGUUCUAUGAAGGAGAAAAAUAAAAACACACAGGAAGAAAAGGACCAAAGAUCAAAGGGUCAAAACUCGGCGACAGGUUAAAUGUUUCUAAAACACUGCCGAGCUUUGCCUGAAGGCACAAUGUCAGGAGUAGCUUUCCUGUGUGUAGUGAUAGCUUUCCUGGAGUGUAGCCAUCUGUGUCAUUACUUCCCUUGGUGCUCUGGGACAUUUCUACUCCACAGGUGAUUAGAACCCUAGGAGGGAACUAAGCUGCACACUGGAUAAAGGCAUGGCCCUAGAUAGAGAAGUGAUUCAGCGAUAAAGCAAGGAGCAGAACCCAGGCUUCCUGGGCCUCAGCUGGCUCUGCCUCCCAGGACACACCUGGAACACAAAUAUUGGCUGUCUUCCCUAUGGGCCACAGCAUCAACAAGCUCCACCCGUACAGCUGAUUCUCUGUACCAUCAACUCCAUCUAUACGUCAAAGAGCCAAGCCACUCCCUGGGGCUGAAGACCACGAAUGGAGAAUCCAUUUUCAAGGGUCCUAGGUGUUCCCAUGCAAAUCAAAGGAAAAUGGUAAUACAUGUUACUUUCUAUGGCAA